UCAUUGCUAAAGGGGCCUCAGGGAAGGAGUUCUGCAUCCCGACAACUAGAAAGUGAGGGUCUUGCAAACUGGUGUUCCCAUGGCCAGGGAGGGGCUUUGUAUGUCGUUAACUGCAGCAAAAAAACAUAAUUUCAUACUCCUUGAAGCUCGGCCUACUCCCAGAAGAUGAAAAAUAUUUCAGUUCAUUGAAUCCGAGAAUGCAAAACCCACGGACAUGGAGGGCCGACUACACUCAUUUCUUUUGGAUGAACGGACAUCUAUCUCAAAUGGAGAGCAACUUAUCUAAUGCUAUUUUGUCAUGAAUCAGGGGGUGCAACCUUCAGUCACAGCAUGUGGGUAAAAGAACACUGAGAUUACUUAGACCAAGCGGGCAUGAGACCAAGGCCGUGAUCUCGUGUCUUUGCUGCAGGCGCCAUCACACAACUGACUGCAAAGACCAAACCUCAACACCCACCUCAGUAGGGGACGCGAUAGCACAGCGCUGCAGACAGCGCUGCAGACAGCGGGAAGCGAGGCCUCCGCACCAAGAGCGCCAUGGGCGAGGAGGAGCCCUGCGGGUAUUUUUAGGAGGUGGGCAGUAUUUGUUCUAUUUAAAGAGAAACUGAAGUUCAUGCAAAUUUGAAGAGUUUAUUUGAGCACACGGCAAUUCCAAUCGGCUGCACCAAACCGAACGAGGACGCAGGAAAGCAAAGCAAGGAAAUCGCUUGAUUGGCUACAGCUCAAGGAGUUGCCUCACUUGGGAAGGCCCAGUUGCCUGUUUCUGGUUGGUUGUCCAUUGAGGCAUUUACAAGACUACUCUGGCCUCCUUGUUUCGGUUCCAAGCCAAAGCAGCAGGUGGCUAGGUGGUUCUAGUAUCUUGACGCCAUCCCAGGGUUCCUCAGCAGCGGAGGCCCUGAAACUUGAACCCUUUACGCCAUUAGCCUGUUUGGCUCACUGCAGACACUCAGAAGGCAUCCACUAGAAGAAGCUUUAGCUCUGCGGCUCUGUCCGGGUCUGCAACCUACAGCCCCAUGAACUGAACGGCAGCAGCUUGGCCGUGGCUAGAACACUUGUUCCCAGGGUUUCAUCGCUGCAUCGGCGCUGUCCAUCAGCACCACCAAUGGCCUGAUUAGAAAUGCCACUUUGCCACCACCCCAAGCACAAACCUAUGGACUAAGACACUUUGGGAACAAGAGACAAGAAUCGGUGUUUUAAGGCGCCUUCAGGUGAUGCAGAUGUGUAAUAAAAAGAAUCCCAUUUAUAAACAUAGAAAGUGAAAAGCCCCCAAGCAUCUCACCUCCUGGAAAAAAAAAUUUGAGAAAGUAUCCAUUUAGACUGUUUUUUUGCAUAUGCAUGGGCUGCUGUGUGUCUGGGUGUUCAUAUAUCCCUUUACAUAUGGUUUUCCUUAGUACAAUGCAGUCACACUUUACCAAUCUGCACUGACGUUUUCCCUCUUAAUAAUAUAUCUCUUUCAAAACCUAACUGUUGAGGAGCUGGAAUCUGACUUACGCGCCACCGUAGAGACCGUGGCUGGGCAUCGCCGGAGGGACCAGUGGAGGGAGACUAGCUCCAGAGGGAGCAGGGACGCAGCCGGGAGGGUCCCUCCUAUGCCACCUCCGCAGGGGUGCAGGCCCCCCAGUGGUCGCCUUCCACACCUGUGUCGACCCUGCCCGCCACCCCUGUGCACCGUGGGUGUGUGGCUCCUCACUGCGGCCCCCAGCGCUCUGCACCCCGCAUUCCGCCUGGCUCGCUCCCUUCUUGCCAUCCCCUCCAAGAUGCAAACUCAGGUCACACUGCCACUGGGACUUGAAGUACCUGCAUCUCCGAAGGAAAAGAACUCACCUGGUGCCCUCAGGGACACAUGAGCAGGCUGAGCCUGGUGUGGACCCUGCCCCACAUGGGGUGCCCAGGGGACCAUCCGCCCAGUCGCUCCUGGGCCUGUCCUUUGGAGAGGCCCCGCCAGAGCCGGGGACGGCCAGCGACGACCCCAGCGCCCCGGUGCUUCUUUCUGGGCUUGGGGCGUCUGGAGAAGCGGCCCCAAGCGUGCUGAGCUCCACGGAAGGUAAAUACCUGUUGGGACCAACGAUCGCAGAAAGGGAAAGACGAGAGUCACCUGCAGACAGCGAGGGCGACUCCUCACCAGGCACUGGCGAGAUCCGAGGCAGCGCGGGACUGUGUUCUCAUACCUCGUGUCACCACUGAUGAGGCCACUCGGGGUCCCCACGGACCCGACGGUGCUGGGGGGCGGUGCCUCCCCUCUGCCGGGUCUGGAUUCUAACCUCUCCUGCCCGUGAGGCGUCUGCAGCCGUCUGACCAGCUCGCAGCCCCGUCUGUCCUCUGCCCGCUUUGCGGUCGCCUCCUGCGCACCGAGCUGAGUUCUCACGAACUCCACAGGACGCCGCUGGUUCUUCAGCUCCUCGCCGGAGCACGUCACUCUCACAGUGGGAGGACUGCCACCGGACACUGGCGCACACUGCCGCCCGAGGCUCAACGUAUUGGGCUACUAGAAGGCUCCACUUAAGCGACAGAGAUUAGAUUAAUAAUAGACUUAAAACUUAGACGUGUAUGGUGUUUGUGACCAUGACGUUACGCAUGACACAAAGUUUUGAAGGAGAUGAGAAAGUAUUCUUCCAGUAUUUAGAAACGAUGCCUGCAUACAGCACAACAUCCCUCACAGGAUUUGAGAAUGAGUACAACUCCAACGUCUUUGUUGAUUCAGUAUCUUAUUUGUAAAACAAAACGAGAAACAGCCGUAUCUUCCGAAGAAAAACAGGCAAAUGACAUGAUCAGAAAUUGGACAAAAUAUACACAGGUGGCUACUAAAGACAUGAGAAAAUGCUCAAAACCCCGAACCCCUAGGGAGAUGCGAUUCAAACCACAGAGGUAGUGUGAGACAUCACUAAAAAGGCUGACGUCAAAGACUGGCCACAUCAAGUACUACAGGGAUGUAGAGGAAAUGGGACUCGCAUACGCUGCUGGUGGAAACGCGGUCAUUUUUUAUCAGAGUUUGGCAGUUUCUCAAAAAGUUAAACUCUCAUCUCCUCUGUGUGCUAGGCAUGGCACUUUGAGUUGUAACGAAAAGAAAAAUGAAACGCUUCUCCAUAUAAAGAAUCGUAAUGAAAAUGUUCAGAGCGGCUUUAUUUGCAAUAGUCCAAAACUGAAAAUAGCCCGACUGGCCGAACACAGAUGAACGGCUAGAGGUACAUAUACAUAUACACAAAAACAUAUAUAUUUAAAAAUAUUAUUGAGUAAUAAAAGAAUGAAUUACUUAUAUAAGCACCACUGAUGAAUCUCAAAACAAUUAUGCAGCAUGAGUGGAGGGAAAAUUAGAAUAAACUUAAAAUUUCAUCACAUAAAAGUCUAGAAAAAUGCAAACUAAUCAGUAGAGAGUAAAUCAAUGGUUGCUGUGAGGUCCAGGAAGGGCAUGGAGAUUAUAAAAGGACACGAGGCAAAUACACGAGUGACAGAUCUUCAUUAUAAUAGCCGUGACGAUAGUUUCACAGGU
Pteropus alecto (black flying fox) is the source of this 3484-nucleotide long non-coding RNA. RefSeq lists it as uncharacterized. NCBI's taxonomy places the organism in Eukaryota, Metazoa, Chordata, Mammalia, Chiroptera, Pteropodidae. The transcript has 3 exons. The record is from RefSeq and is a predicted model, not a curated record.